Myodes glareolus (Bank vole) is the source of this 6270-nucleotide non-coding RNA. Lineage: Eukaryota; Metazoa; Chordata; Mammalia; Rodentia; Cricetidae. The record is from RefSeq and is a predicted model, not a curated record.
ACUAGCUUUUGUAGACCAGGCUGGCCUUAAACUCAGAGAUCCACCUGCCUCUGCCUCCCAAGUGCUGGGCUUAAAGGUGUGCACGACCACCACCCGGCGCUUUUCAUUAGUUUAACUUUAGAUGUUUUUCUUAACCUGUUAAAUUCUCCUGAAAAGCCAGUUAGUUAUUAGACCUUGUCUUUGUCUGUUAUUUUGAAAAUUCUGUCUUAUAGUUGUCACUAUGUCAGUGUAAGUUAUCAUUAGUCAUUCCACUGAGCAUGUUAAGUUGGAAUUGUAAGCAGAGGUUGCAAACAGUGUUCUUUGCUUUUGGUCUUUUAAAUUCUGAAGAGUUCUGCAGAAAAGUUUAACCCAUAAAAGUUUGAGUCAUGCGUCUGAACUAGUCUUACUUCUUGGUGUUAGGAAAAUGAUUAUUUUAUUUUUUGUCAUUUCUGACUUGUGUUUAUAAAAUCCCAGUACUCUCAGUGGUUUGAGCUGUUGUGGUAAUUAAUCUCUUUAAUCUAUUAUAAAGAAAACGAUACGCCAUUUAGAUGGUUUUAGUCAACAUGAUAAGCAGAAAGGUAGGUGAAUAAUUAAUUUAUUACUAUUAGUUUUAAGUUUACAGAGUUUUGUAAAAUGUUAUUAACUAAAGAGAAAUGGAUUAUACCCUGAAGAAAAUUCAAAACUGCUAGUCAUACCUUUUAUGGCAGCACUCAGGUAAAGCAGGAGAUCCACCUGCUCUAAAUACCUAAGUUGCAGACAUCCAGAGUCACACAGGGGAACACUAUCUCAAAACAAAAACAAAACAGAAUAAAAUGUGGCUUUUGUUUAGAGUGUACAUGACCUCCAUUUGCUGUGCUACAAAAAAGGACAGAGGCUAUGACAAGAGCCACCUGCACGUGGCUCAUCGGGCUAUCGACCUGUCAGAUACGGUGCUCUGAUGCUACGCCAGAGAGAAAGCAACCCGAGCUUUCUCCUGGUUGGAGCAGUCCCGGGGCUGUAGUUCUUUUAAGGAUUGAAUACAUCCCCAAUAAAACAAAGUUGCCAGUCUGACAUUUUAAAGAGUGGUUGUAUUCUUCCAUAUUGUAGGAGGCUGAUAAAAUGACACAGUAUGCUAAUCACAUUGACAGACUCUUAGCUGAGAGAUCACUUUACUAACAAUAUCCAUUUCCCUAAAAAUUGGAGAAUAGAAUGUUUGCAAGAAUGUUGUAUUCCAGGCAAGCACUAAAAAAUUUGCAUUAUACAUAAGUUAGAAGAUUGAACUAAUGGUUCUAGCAUGGCAGUCAGCUGCUUGGAAAAGACAGAUUAUAGUCAUAGUUCUUAUCUAUUUCAUCUGUUAGUUCAGAUUCUUUGAAGUAAUGAUGUGACUGAACUAGAUCAUUUCUGGGUUGUGUGUUGGUAUUAAAAUCAAACUGAAAUCUUAAAUUUAAAAGAUAAGUAAAAUAUCAGGUAAAUACUUUGGAAAAAUGGUUUUUAGUCUUAUUAUCUUUACUAAAAUCAUCUAUCAUGAUGUUAAUUCAUUAAAUAAAAGUUUUUUAGGAUAUUUGAAAAAUGUCAGUUUUUAUCAAUGUGUGUCAAGAUACUAUGUGUGAAGGAAGAGAGAAGCAUUUGAUCAGCUGCUGAGUCAAUUAUAAGUUGAGAACUCUUUGUUUUAUGGUUUUUACUCUUUAAAAAAAUCGACUGGCUUUUUGUUUCAUUGAGACAAGAUCUCAUGUAGCUGAGGUUGGUCUUGAAUUCCUGAUACUCCUGUCUCCACCUCUGCAGUUUUGGGAUUACAGGUAUGUGCCACUGUACCUAGCUUGCAUUCUGGGAGAAAACUUUUCAAAACAUCUUGCAUACUUUUUAAGAACUCAUAUCUUAGCCGAUCGAUGGUGGCGCAUGCCUUUAAUCCCAGCACUCGGCAGGCAGAGGCAGGAGGAUCUUUGUGAGUUCGAGGCCAGCCUGGUCUACAAGAACUAGUUCCAGGACAGGCUCCAAAGGUACAGAGAAACCCUUUCUCGAACCCCCCCUCCCCCCUCAAAAAAAGAACUCAUAUUUUUCAUAGCUCUACAGAGUACUAGUGACUAAGCUGGGCAUGAUGACACAUAGCACUUGGGAGCAGGAGGAUUAGGAGUUCAAGAUCCUGUGUGCACCUCAAUAAAACAAACAGAAAAAGCCCUUCAGUGUAUGGGUAAUAUAUGCACGGUUAAAUGACAUUCUAGGACUGUUGAUGUGAUCUAAAUUUUAAAUUUAUUUUAUUGUAAUUCAUUGUCUUACCAUUUAUUGACAUGGGAUUGGUAGUUAACAGAUAUGAACACAAAAUACUGUGUUUCAGUCAGUAUUAGUAGCCAGCAACAUUCGCUUUGUAUUUUUGAGUUAGCAGAACUUAACCUUUCCUCAAACCAUAAAUUCUCAGAUCCUUUUAUCCCCAUCCCACCAAGGAGAUAAUCCUGCUUUUAGCUUGCAUUCCCUACUGAGACAACCUCUAGUAUCUCAGCAGAUCAUUUUCAUAUAUCUCCAAGUAAGUGGUGUGGUUUUUCAUGUCUUUAAGGGAUUGCCCCCCACUGUACUGGUCUCUAUGCCAAAACUUUUCAUCAUUGGGGUCCAGGAAUGUUAAAAACACACAAAUGCGUGUGCACACCUACACCUGCCCUACAUGGAACAAUUUAAGAAACAACACUAUUUCAUUUAAAGUUUUUUAUUACACUUAUUAAGGUGGGACAGGGCAUGCUACAGUACAUGGUUGGAAGUCAGAGAACAACCUGAGGGAGUUGAUUUUCUCCUUCCACCAUGUGGAUCCCAGGGAUCAGGCUGUCAUCCUCAGCAGAAAGCUCCUUUACUACUGAGUCACCUUGCCUAGCCCCAGAAACUUGUUUCAUAUAUAAUGAGUUUUAUUUUUUGCAUUAAAGUGGAUGCAUAAAUAACAAUACUAUGUAAGAUCUCCUGCUUCUUCUACCCAAGGCUCUAGGGUAGACAGUUGUUUUGGCAGCAGAUGCUAGAAUGAGGAGGGAAUCUGACAACUGAAGUCAGAGAACAAAGCUUCCACCUGUGUGGGGUUGGUUUGAACCCCUGUUCAGUGGUCUAUAAGUCAAGGAAGAAACUGUGUAAUUAGCACCCCAGGGCCUCCCUUUAUUUCUACCCUUGUGUAAUCACGUUGUAAGAUCCACAGGCAGGAAAUUGGUUUUGUUCAUGUUUUUAUUUCGAAUAUCUGUUUCUUCAGAACAAUGUAGGAUGGCAAGGAGGGAGGAGUGUAGAGGUCCUUUUGGUAUAGGUUGGGCAGCUAUAAUCUGACAGUUAACUAUUCUGUUUAAAAUAGCACAGGAUUGUUGUAUAAUUCUAUAAAUACUUAAAAUUUUUAAAAUUUGCAAGGUACAAAUAUAAUGAGCUCCAUGUAGCCAUCUAUUGAUCCGCCCUUCCUCACAGAGGUUUUCCAUCCCCUGUUGCUGCACUGAUCAGAUGCACUGUCUUCCCUCUAAGUAGGUGAAUGACUAAUGGACUGUUUGAGUGCUCGGGGCACAGCCUGCAGCUGUUGGUCCUUAGUUACCCUCUAUCCGAAGACUCACGGAGUAUAACUUUACCCUUUGUUCACUAAAUGUGUUAAUUUAGCCCUGGAGAAUUACCUGUUAAUUGUCCCUUAUUUCUGAGUGGCAAAUAUAUUAUUUUUGGUUAAACAUUAUACUAAAUUGAAAUAACUUUGUGUGUGGUGUGGUGGUGGUAUUGGUGAUUGAACUUGGGAUUUCACACAUUUUAGGCAAGCGUUCUUCUGCAGAGCUAACAUCCCAGCUAUUUGCUUUACUUUUACAAGUUUCACUAACUUACUUCGACUGGCUUUGAAUUCCAGCUCUUCUAGCUUAGCUGCCUGAAGGGCUAGGAUUGUGGGAGUGUGUUACCAUACCUAGCCUAAAAUAACUUUUAAGUACCACAUAAGCCUUGUGAACUGAAAAGUUGUAAUAUUUUGAAUUGACUUAGUUUGAGGAGCAAAUUUAAACUUAAUGAACUCAUUCCAGAAUUUAUUUUUUAAAUUUAUGUGUAUUUAUUUUGUAUGCAUGUGUGUAAGUGUGUGUGUGUUCACACGUCCACAGCUGCAUGUGGAAGUCAGAGGACAACUUGUACCUUAGGGGUCCUAGGCAUUGAACUCAGGUCAUCAUAUUGCCAGCCCAGUAAGCUAUUUUUUUGGCAUCUGUAUUUUCUUUUAAGCUUUUGUGAUGCUGGGAAUGGAACCCAGACCUUCAUACAUGCUAGGCAAAUGCUCCAUCACUGAUCUCUUUGCUCAGUUAAAUAAUGUGCUAUUUUUUUUUUAAAUCCUGCUGCUGUUUGCUUUUGAGAUAGAAUCUUCUAGCCUAGGCUACUCUUGAACUCACUGUGUAGCCCAAGCUGCUUCAACUUGAAACUUUCCUGCCUUAGCCUUCUGAAUACUGGGAUUACAACAGUACAGCACCAUGCCUGGCCUUUAUUUGCAUAUUUUGGGAGGCUGGCCUGUUACUCUUCUUGACAGUCCUCCUGCUUCAGCCUCCUAAGUGCUGGGAUUAUAGUCAUGAAUCAUCAUGACUGUACUGCAGCUUUUCUUUAAAUAUAUAUUCAGUAUAUAUUUAAACAUUUUUAAUAUAUAUUUAAACCCAGCUAUAUUAGAUUUUUUGUUUAAAAUGUCCUAAAGCAGGUGCACAUGCUAAAUUCUAAUAAUCAAAAGCUGUUCAUUGGAUUUACAUAAAUUAGGUAGGUCUUACACUUGCCCUUUUGCCACUGGAGCAUAACAUAAGCUGUAACAGUUGCCUUUGAGUACAAAUCCUUGGGAAAACAAAUCCAAUACUGGUGUGAGUGGGAUUUUAAAAUACUUAACAUGAGUUAAGUAGUCCCAUUUGUUACUUAAAAAAUAACCUUUCGCUUAAUUUUUCAAUCAUCUAUUGUGAUAAUUUUCAUUCUUCCAGUUGUUUAAAGUAACUAUACCAAAUGUAGGUUAAUUCUGUCUUAAACAUAAAAUGUAGAUUAUAGAUUUUCAGUGUGUAAAACAAUAGGCAUUCUUGUAAGUUAGUUUGAGAAAUCCAUUUUAUUUUAUUUGAGGUACAGUCCCUCUGCACAGUGAACAAAUAUAUUACAAAUCUGUGGUUUAAAAAAGUAUUGCCAUUUCAUAGUCUCUCACACUAUUGUACAGUAACUGUGUUCUUUAUUUUUCUGACUUGUAUACAUAUUAAUUUACUGGAUUGAAGAGUUUUUAUUUUGAAAAAUAAUUGAGCAGAUCUUUCCAGUCAUUGAUAGAAUGUGCAGUGCACGUGUUUAGGCUGACUGCAAACUUACUUGUGAUUGUUAGACAGAAAUUCCUAACAGUAGCUCUGCAUGAUUGAAAUGUCUUAGUGCUAACUCUUAGCUAUGUGAAGGCUGCUCUUGUCGCCAUAGUUAAUCACAUCUUUGCCCUUUCCCUCCUCCUCUGUAUUGCCUGUUUGAGUUAUGUUGCUUGAAAUGUUGUAGAGUACUACAGUUGGAGAGUUGAUAGAGCUCUGCUCCCACUAAUGUGUCUCUUCUUUCAUGUGUGGGAAAUAAAGGAGCCCAAAGAGGGCAAGUGACUUAACAAGAGUGGUGCCAGCAUCUCUUGACUUGGUGCUCCAGUCAUCUCACCUCUUGCUGAAUACUUCUGUGCAGAGGGUAGUUGGUAAGAGAGAAGUGAGACUUGGAAUUUGCAUGGUUAUAGUUUGCCAGGUAGCAGUUAUUGUACAUGCAGGAUAAGGGAAGAAGAUAAAGCCUGGGAUUGAGAUGCCAGUUCUCCUUGCCGAUUGGAUUUUGCCAUGCUUCAUCCUUGCUUCACAAAGAUAAUUGAGCACUUGUGGCCCUGAAAUACUGAGGUUCCACGCUACAUCAAGUGCCAUCUAUGAAGAACUGCUUGAAAACAAGUCAAGGGACUCCAACUAAAUUGAAUGAGCCAUUUGGAUGGUUUCUAGGGAAACUUAAUUCUUAUCAGCCUACACCUUUUCUAUGAUGCUGGUGAUCUACCCCAGGGCCCCACUCACCACCAAGCGUUCUUCUUCAGGGCUACAUUUCCAGUCCUGUGACUACUAUCUUAAAGUAGCAGCUUAGUUCUCUGGUACACACAGAAUGACUCAGAUGUUAGGCGUAUUAAUGCAGUGCAGCCAGGCCAGGACUGGCCUUCAUUAUUCUUGACAAGAUUUGGUAAAGCAGGCAUAGAAACCAUUCUAGACUGAAUGAAACUGCUGUGCUUUUGAAAUAAUUACUCUUACCCCCCCCCCUUCUGUUUUGUCUCCUAUCACUGAUAGGACAGAAGAAAGUGACUCUGUCUUUAUUAAAUUCUUGUUUUUGAAAAUGCAA